This 76-nucleotide transfer RNA is filed under the name Rubrivivax sp. RNAcentral describes it as "tRNA-Lys". It matches the Rfam family "tRNA". Rfam says of the family: Transfer RNA (tRNA) molecules are approximately 80 nucleotides in length. Their secondary structure includes four short double-helical elements and three loops (D, anti-codon, and T loops). RNAcentral also lists the same sequence under 1 other name. Lineage: Bacteria; Pseudomonadati; Pseudomonadota; Betaproteobacteria; Burkholderiales; Sphaerotilaceae. The record is from RNAcentral.
GGGCUCUUAGCUCAGUUGGUAGAGCAGCGGACUCUUAAUCCGUUGGUCGGCAGUUCGAGCCUGCCAGGGCCUACCA